This 461-nucleotide ribosomal RNA is filed under the name uncultured bacterium. RNAcentral's name for it is "bacterial SSU rRNA". It matches the Rfam family "Bacterial small subunit ribosomal RNA", at positions 8 to 496 of the family's 1533-position model. The record is from RNAcentral.
AGAGUUUGAUCAUGGCUCAGGAUGAACGCUGGCGGCGUGCCUAACACAUGCAAGUUGAGCGAUUUACUUCGGUAAAGAGCGGCGGACGGGUGAGUAACGCGUGGGUAACCUGCCCUGUACACACGGAUAACAUACCGAAAGGUAUGCUAAUACGAGAUAAUAUGCUUUUAUCGCAUGGUAGAAGUAUCAAAGCUUUUGCGGUACAGGAUGGACCCGCGUCUGAUUAGCUAGUUGGUAAGGUAACGGCUUACCAAGGCGACGAUCAGUAGCCGACCUGAGAGGGUGAUCGGCCACAUUGGAACUGAGACACGGUCCAAACUCCUACGGGAGGCAGCAGUGGGGAAUAUUGCACAAUGGGCGAAAGCCUGAUGCAGCAACGCCGCGUGAGCGAUGAAGGCCUUCGGGUCGUAAAGCUCUGUCCUCAAGGAAGAUAAUGACGGUACUUGAGGAGGAAGCCCCGG